Peromyscus maniculatus bairdii (prairie deer mouse) is the source of this 616-nucleotide non-coding RNA. Lineage: Eukaryota; Metazoa; Chordata; Mammalia; Rodentia; Cricetidae. The record is from RefSeq and is a predicted model, not a curated record.
CAAGGCGAGAGAGCCGAGCGCGCCUGCGCGGACUCUCGACGCCGGGAAGAGCUGGGCGUAAACUUGAGCUGGAAACUUGAUAAUGCUGUUAUGGCUGUACCCACUGCUGCUAGCAGCAAUCAACAUGGAUUAGUAUCCAGACCACGUAGAGGCCAUGGGGGUGAACCAGGUGACAGAUCUGAUGUCCUGCCUUUUAAGCCAUAUGCUGAAAAAGCAUUUGAAAACUUCAAAAUGGGUUCCUACUAAAGUAAUCUUCAAAAGAAGAACAAAGGCCUAUGUUCAUAACAUCUCAAUUCUUGUUUAGUGUAUCGUACUGGAAUCAUGCAGAGAUAAUGGGAGGCUGUUCUCAUUUCUAGAAGAAGACAAAGAUGCCUAUCAUCGGGGUGGCACUUCCCAUGAUUCUGGAGGCACUUGUGGUGUACUUGUUUACUCUCUGGAGACAAGGUCUUGCUGUGUACUUCCGGCUGGCCUGGAACAUGCCGUAUAGUCCAGGCUGGCCUCAAACUCCUGUCAACCCACUUUCUUCUUCUGGUCUUACAGGCGUGCACCGCCACGCUUGCUGGCCAAGAAGAAAUCUAUUGGGCUUGUAAGAAUGUGAUUAGAUGGUACAUCUAGA